This 696-nucleotide long non-coding RNA is filed under the name Homo sapiens (human). Its description in RNAcentral is "HSALNT0203444". Lineage: Eukaryota; Metazoa; Chordata; Mammalia; Primates; Hominidae. The record is from RNAcentral.
UUUAAGUGGUGACUAAGCCCUGAGGGCUUCUCCUUCAUGAAUGGGAUUAAAGAUCUUAUAAGAGACUUCAUGUAGCCUUUGGCUCUCUUGCUCUUCUGCCUAGUGCUAUAUAAGGAUAGAGCUUUUCUCUCCUUCAGAGGACAUAGAAAGAUGCAAUCUUGGAAACAGAAAAUGCCCCUCACCACAUAACUGAGCCUACCAGCACCUUGAUUUUGGAUCUCCCAGCCUCCAAAAUGACAGGAUCUCUGUCAUCCAGACUGGAGUGCGGUAGCAUGACCACUUAUGACACUCUAGAACUCCUGGGCUCAAGCAGUCCUCCUACAUCAGCCUUCGGAGUAGAUGAAACUACAGGCUUGCAUCACCACACCAGCUAAUUUUUAAUUUUUUAGAGACGGGGCCUCCUUAUGCUGCCCAGGCUUGUCUGGAGCUCCUGGGCUCAAACAGUUCUCUCAUGUUGACCUUCCAAAGUGCUGGAAUUACAGGUAUGAGCCACUGUGCCAAGCUUUGACCUCAUUUUUUAAAGCACAGGAAUAUAAUGCUAUUUUCAUCAUUUUCAUUCAGUUAGAACAAUUAUGGUAAACAACGUCUGAAACUUAGACAUUUCUCAAAGACCUAAACCAUUUAAAAUGAUAUUUACAUUUCAUACUUUUUUCUUUUUCCUAAUAGUUUCCUUUCCUUUGUAAUAUUAUAGCUGAA